CUCGGGGCCUCGGACGGGGCGGGGCGGCCUUCCGUGCCGCCGGACCUCACCCCUCCCGGCCCGGGUCGCCCCGUCCGCCGGGAGGGCGCUCGCAGCCCAGGCUUCGGGGAGAGCGCGGCGGUGAGACGCGGCUCCACGUGAGCCAAAGCUGCGGAAACACCGCGCUCUCCCCCGAGCUUCGCGGCGAGGCGUGUAACCCUACACCCGGGGCGCGGGGGCGGAGGGGGGAGGCUCGGCCUGCGGCUGGCGGCUGUCGGGGUGGAAGCCGAGGAAUGCCCUUUGUCUGGACAACUUUUCCGGAGGAGGCGCCCUCUCCCAGGGGCUGUCUCCUUGGAGGUCAAGAGUCACUGCUUUGGAGCUCAGAGUCUUAGAGAUUUCAGUUCCACGACUUCUGCUCCCCGCCUCCCCCAGAAGUUAAUGAUCUGUAAGGUAAGUUUCUGAAAGUUCUAGCAAAGGCUUAGUAUUUAAAGGAAACCUGCCCUCAGCCUGUUUAACAUGCAAAUAUUCACCUUCAGUAUACUCAUUAAAUUUGUUAUUUUGCAAUAAACAAGGGGAUGAAGUGUCACAGCUAUACAGAGGCUUUAACAGGCACCUGUAGGAGACGUAAGAGACACGAGUUUGAUCCCUGGGUCGGGAAGAUCCCCUGGGGAAGGAAAUGACACCCACUCCAGUAUUCUCGCUGGGAGAAUCCCAUGGACAGAGGAGCCUGAUGGGCUACAGUCCAUGGGUAGCAGAGAAGUUGACAUGACUGAGUGUCUGAGCACACAGCACAUAGGUCCUAAAAACACCAUAAGCCGAUCCUUAGAAUGCUCUUAAAUGAUCGUGGCACUCGCAUGUCUCAGGGCAUGUCCCAUUCAUCUGGAUUCUGUUUGGCUCAGCAAA
RNAcentral lists this long non-coding RNA (882 nucleotides) under Bos grunniens (domestic yak). RNAcentral's name for it is "lncRNA (ENSBGRG00000011545.1)". The record is from RNAcentral. Lineage: Eukaryota; Metazoa; Chordata; Mammalia; Artiodactyla; Bovidae.